CCUACGGGAGGCAGCAGUGGGGAAUCUUGGGCAAUGGAGGCAACUCUUACCCAGCAAUGCCGCGUGAAUGAAGAAGGUCUUCGGAUCGUAAAGUUCUUUAAUCGGGGACGAAAAAAAUGACGGUACCCAAGGAAUAAGCCCCGGCUAACUACGUGCCAGCAGCCGCGGUACUACGUAGGGGGCAAGCGUCGUUCGGAAUGACUGGGCGUAAAGGGUGGGUAGGCGGGGUAGCAAGUUAGAAGUGAAAUACCUAGAGCUUAACUCAGGUGCUGCUUCUAAAACUGCUAUACUUGAGUGCAGGAGAGGAAAGUGGAAUUCCUAGUGUAGCGGUGGAAUGCGUAGAUAUUAGGAGGAACAUCAGUGGCGAAGGCGACUUUCUGGACUGUAACUGACGCUGAGGCACGAAAGUGUGGGGAGCGAACAGGAUUAGAUACCCCAGUAGUC
RNAcentral lists this ribosomal RNA (444 nucleotides) under uncultured bacterium. Its description in RNAcentral is "partial 16S ribosomal RNA". It matches the Rfam family "Bacterial small subunit ribosomal RNA", at positions 338 to 795 of the family's 1533-position model. The record is from RNAcentral.